CCUACGGGUGGCAGCAGUGGGGAAUAUUGGGCAAUGGGCGCAAGCCUGACCCAGCAACGCCGCGUGAAGGAAGAAGGCUUUCGGGUUGUAAACUUCUUUUCUCAGGGACGAAGAAAGUGACGGUACCUGAGGAAUAAGCCACGGCUAACUACGUGCCCGCAGCCGCGGUAAUACGUAGGUGGCAAGCGUUAUCCGGAUUUAUGGGGUGUAAGGGCGUGUAGGCGGGAGCGCAAUUCAGAUGUGAAACCUCAGGGCUCACACCUGAGCCUGCAUUUGAAACUGUGUUUCUUGAGGUCUGGAGAGGCAAGCGGAAUUCCGGGUGUAGCGGGGAAAUGCGUAGAUAUACGGAGGAACACCAGUGGCGAAGGCGGAUUGCUGGACAGUAACUGACGCUGAGGCGCGAAAGCGUGGGGAGCAAACAGGAUUAGAUACCCUGGUAGUC
This 442-nucleotide ribosomal RNA is filed under the name uncultured bacterium. Its description in RNAcentral is "partial 16S ribosomal RNA". It matches the Rfam family "Bacterial small subunit ribosomal RNA", at positions 338 to 795 of the family's 1533-position model. The record is from RNAcentral.